AAAGUCUCUUCUCGCGAGAUACAUUUAUGCAGCGUUCACUGUCCCGUGGGAAAUAAUGUAAUGUCGAGCUUCAUUGAAGAAUCUGUCAGAAAUCAGAUGAUCCGACAAAAGCACCGCCCUCACUGACUGUGUUGAAGAGCGACAUCUGCUGGUUCAAUGACAGAACAGCUCCAUCUCUGGAAAGUGACACAAUCAGGUGUGGCCUAGCUUUCUGGUCGUCGGUGGUGCGGCACACCUGAAUCUCAUCCACC
Molecule: long non-coding RNA, 251 nt
Organism: Seriola dumerili (greater amberjack)
Lineage: Eukaryota; Metazoa; Chordata; Actinopteri; Carangiformes; Carangidae
Exons: 3
Source: RefSeq, a predicted model, not a curated record